Molecule: ribosomal RNA, 512 nt
Filed under: Dicranomyia swezeyi
Lineage: Eukaryota; Metazoa; Arthropoda; Insecta; Diptera; Limoniidae
Description: partial 16S ribosomal RNA
Rfam family: Bacterial large subunit ribosomal RNA
Source: RNAcentral
GUCUUUUUGAAAUAAAUUUAAAGUCUGACCUGCCCACUGAUAAAUUUUAAAGGGCCGCGGUAUUUUGACCGUGCAAAGGUAGCAUAAUCAUUAGUUUUUUAAUUGGAAGCUUGUAUGAAUGGUUGGACGAAAUAUUUACUGUCUCAUAAAAAUUUGUAUUAGAAAUUAAUUUUUUUGUUAAAAAGCAAAAAUUAUAUUAAAGGACGAGAAGACCCUAUAGAGCUUUAUAAUUUUAUUAUUUAAUUUUUUAAGGAAAUUUAAAAUUUUAUAAAAAUAAUUAUUUUGUUGGGGUGACAAUAAAAUUUAUAAAACUUUUAUUAUAAGUGUUACAUUGAUUAAUGAAUAUUUGAUCCAUUAUUAAUGAUUAAAAAAUUAAGUUACCUUAGGGAUAACAGCGUAAUUUUUUUUAAGAGUUCAUAUCGACAAAAAAGAUUGCGACCUCGAUGUUGGAUUAAGAGUUAUUUUUAGGUGUAGAAGUUUAAAGUUUAGGUCUGUUCGACCUUUGAAUUCUU